GGUCUUUUGUGUUUUAUAAAAGAUCUGGCCUGCCCAAUGAUGUUUUAAUGGCUGCAGUAUUUUGACUGUACAAAGGUAGCAUAAUCACUUGUCUCUUGAUUGGGGUCUGGUAUGAAUGGUUAGAUGAAAAAUUUACUUUCUUUUUUUUAAAAAAAUAAAUUGAUUUUUGAGUUAAAAAGCUUAGAUUUGAUUAUAGGACGAGAAGACCCUAUAGAACUUUAUUAUUUUGGGUUAGUGGUUUUGUUGAGAAUAAGUUUCUGCUAUUUCUAUAUAAUUUUGUUGGGGUGACAAAAAAAAUUUUAUAACUUUUUUUAUUUUUUUCAUUUAUUUAUGAAUUUUUGAUCUUCUUAUUAGGGAAAAAAGAUUAAGUUACCUUAGGGAUAACAGCGUUAUUAUUUUAGAGAGUUCAUAUUGAUAAAAUAGUUUGCGACCUCGAUGUUGGAUUAAAAUAAGUUGCAGGGGCAGAAUUUUGUUGUACUUGGUCUGUUCGACCAUUGAAUUUUUACAUGAUCUGAGUUCAAACCCGGAGA
RNAcentral lists this ribosomal RNA (530 nucleotides) under Eminoculus laevigatus. RNAcentral describes it as "partial 16S ribosomal RNA". It matches the Rfam family "Bacterial large subunit ribosomal RNA", at positions 1832 to 2624 of the family's 2925-position model. Lineage: Eukaryota; Metazoa; Arthropoda; Insecta; Hemiptera; Miridae. The record is from RNAcentral.